Molecule: ribosomal RNA, 327 nt
Filed under: uncultured soil bacterium
Lineage: Bacteria
Description: bacterial SSU rRNA
Rfam family: Bacterial small subunit ribosomal RNA
Source: RNAcentral
AGAUUGAACGCUGGCGGCAGGCCUAACACAUGCAAGUCGAGCGCGAAAGUUCCUUCGGGAAUGAGUAGAGCGGCGGACGGGUGAGUAACGCGUAGGAAUUUGCCCAGUAGUGGGGGACAACUCGGGGAAACUCGAGCUAAUACCGCAUACGCCCCAAGGGGGAAAGCAGGGGAUCUUCGGACCUUGCGCUAUUGGAUAAGCCUGCGUCGGAUUAGCUAGUUGGUGGGGUAAGGGCCCUACCAAGGCAACGAUCCGUAGCUGGUCUGAGAGGAUGAUCAGCCACACUGGGACUGAGACACGGCCCAGACUCCUACGGGAGGCAGCAGG